RNAcentral lists this ribosomal RNA (917 nucleotides) under Staphylococcus aureus. Its description in RNAcentral is "partial 23S ribosomal RNA". It matches the Rfam family "Bacterial large subunit ribosomal RNA", at positions 1603 to 2521 of the family's 2925-position model. The record is from RNAcentral. Lineage: Bacteria; Bacillati; Bacillota; Bacilli; Caryophanales; Staphylococcaceae.
CACUGCCGAGAAAAGCCUCUAGAUAGAAAAUAGGUGCCCGUACCGCAAACCGACACAGGUAGUCAAGAUGAGAAUUCUAAGGUGAGCGAGCGAACUCUCGUUAAGGAACUCGGCAAAAUGACCCCGUAACUUCGGGAGAAGGGGUGCUCUUUAGGGUUAACGCCCAGAAGAGCCGCAGUGAAUAGGCCCAAGCGACUGUUUAUCAAAAACACAGGUCUCUGCUAAACCGUAAGGUGAUGUAUAGGGGCUGACGCCUGCCCGGUGCUGGAAGGUUAAGAGGAGUGGUUAGCUUCUGCGAAGCUACGAAUCGAAGCCCCAGUAAACGGCGGCCGUAACUAUAACGGUCCUAAGGUAGCGAAAUUCCUUGUCGGGUAAGUUCCGACCCGCACGAAAGGCGUAACGAUUUGGGCACUGUCUCAACGAGAGACUCGGUGAAAUCAUAGUACCUGUGAAGAUGCAGGUUACCCGCGACAGGACGGAAAGACCCCGUGGAGCUUUACUGUAGCCUGAUAUUGAAAUUCGGCACAGCUUGUACAGGAUAGGUAGGAGCCUUUGAAACGUGAGCGCUAGCUUACGUGGAGGCGCUGGUGGGAUACUACCCUAGCUGUGUUGGCUUUCUAACCCGCACCACUUAUCGUGGUGGGAGACAGUGUCAGGCGGGCAGUUUGACUGGGGCGGUCGCCUCCUAAAAGGUAACGGAGGCGCUCAAAGGUUCCCUCAGAAUGGUUGGAAAUCAUUCAUAGAGUGUAAAGGCAUAAGGGAGCUUGACUGCGAGACCUACAAGUCGAGCAGGGUCGAAAGACGGACUUAGUGAUCCGGUGGUUCCGCAUGGAAGGGCCAUCGCUCAACGGAUAAAAGCUACCCCGGGGAUAACAGGCUUAUCUCCCCCAAGAGUUCACAUCGACGGGGAGGUUUGG